This 621-nucleotide ribosomal RNA is filed under the name Streptomyces sp. E146. Its description in RNAcentral is "bacterial SSU rRNA". It matches the Rfam family "Bacterial small subunit ribosomal RNA", at positions 36 to 673 of the family's 1533-position model. The record is from RNAcentral. Lineage: Bacteria; Bacillati; Actinomycetota; Actinomycetes; Kitasatosporales; Streptomycetaceae.
CUGGCGGCGUGCUUAACACAUGCAAGUCAGAACGAUGAACCACUUCGGUGGGGAUUAGUGGCGAACGGGUGAGUAACACGUGGGCAAUCUGCCCUUCACUCUGGGACAAGCCCUGGAAACGGGGUCUAAUACCGGAUACCACUACCGCAGGCAUCUGUGGUGGUUGAAAGCUCCGGCGGUGAAGGAUGAGCCCGCGGCCUAUCAGCUUGUUGGUGAGGUAAUGGCUCACCAAGGCGACGACGGGUAGCCGGCCUGAGAGGGCGACCGGCCACACUGGGACUGAGACACGGCCCAGACUCCUACGGGAGGCAGCAGUGGGGAAUAUUGCACAAUGGGCGAAAGCCUGAUGCAGCGACGCCGCGUGAGGGAUGACGGCCUUCGGGUUGUAAACCUCUUUCAGCAGGGAAGAAGCGAAAGUGACGGUACCUGCAGAAGAAGCGCCGGCUAACUACGUGCCAGCAGCCGCGGUAAUACGUAGGGCGCAAGCGUUGUCCGGAAUUAUUGGGCGUAAAGAGCUCGUAGGCGGCUUGUCACGUCGGGUGUGAAAGCCCGGGGCUUAACCCCGGGUCUGCAUUCGAUACGGGCUAGCUAGAGUGUGGUAGGGGAGAUCGGAAUUCCUGG